RNAcentral lists this ribosomal RNA (253 nucleotides) under uncultured bacterium. Its description in RNAcentral is "partial 16S ribosomal RNA". It matches the Rfam family "Bacterial small subunit ribosomal RNA", at positions 524 to 776 of the family's 1533-position model. The record is from RNAcentral.
UACGUAGGGGGCAAGCGUUGUCCGGAAUUAUUGGGCGUAAAGAGCGUGUAGGCGGUCCGGUAAGUCAGCUGUGAAAGUCAAGGGCUCAACCCUCGAAUGCCGGUUGAUACUGUCGGGUUAGAGUCCGGAAGAGGCGAGUGGAAUUCCCGGUGUAGCGGUGAAAUGCGCAGAUAUCGGGAGGAACACCAAUGGCGAAGGCAGCUCGCUGGGACGGUACUGACGCUGAGACGCGAAAGCGUGGGGAGCAAACAGG